AUGUCGUCAUCGUGGGUGGUGGAUGUCGACUGCCCUGAGCCGCAGGAGAACGUGGAGGGAUGGGUGAUGGACAUGGAGAAGAAGCUCGAGGACGCGGAGCCGCCGGCGAAGGUGCUGAGAUGGCCGAAGCACUGCAUCUUCCGCGUGCCAAUGCGCUUCAAGAUGAAGACGGUUGAUGGCAUCGCGAGCAGCGUAUUCAAGCCGCAGACAGUGUCUCUCGGCCCAUUCCACCACGAUGACAAGGAGCUGAAACCCAUGGAGGAGCACAAGCUGAGAGCCGCCCGUCAUCUCCUCGGUCGGGAGCAUGCUGGUCGGGCCAGCAAGCUGACCCUUGGCGGGCUCGUCGCUGCCGUGGAGAAGGUGGCCGACGAGCUGGAGGAUGCCUACAUGGACCUGGACGACGAGUGGCGGGGUGAGAACAGGGGCAAAUUCCUUGAGAUGAUGAUCACGGACGGCUGCUUCCUGCUGGAGGUGAUGAGGACUGCCGCAGGGAAGGAGUCCAUUCCCAAGGACUACGCUCAUGGCGACCCUAUCUUCAGCUGGUAUGGCGUCCAGCACAUCAAGCCCUUCAUCCAGCGUGACAUGCUCAUGAUCGAGAAUCAGCUGCCACUGAGGUUGCUUGAGACGAUCAUCGCCGUGGAGGAUGGCACAUGUCCGAGCGCGGCUUCGAUAAACUCCAUGGUGCUCAAGUUCCUCGAAAGGGAAGAUGCCCCGGAAGGGACCGGCCUGGGACUCCACCCUCUUGACAUCUACCGGACGAGCCGACUCAAGGGCACAAGUCGGAUCAAGAGUAACAGAAAGGUUCUUCAUAGAGGCAUGCCGACGACACCGACAGCAAAGGAGGCCGGCGUCGUCCGCCCGGAGAGAGUGGUGCCCCGAUCCGCGUGGAAGCUGUCGGAGGCAGGAAUCCAGUUCCUGCCCAGCAAGACGAGCUGCCUCGACGACAUAGAGCUACACAACGGGAGGCUCUACAUGCCCAAGGUCGAGAUGGACGACUCCACCGCCUACAGGAUCCACAACAUGAUGGCGUUCGAGGCGAUGCACGUCGGCACUGGCGAUGACGUGACGGCG
RNAcentral lists this ribosomal RNA (1071 nucleotides) under Triticum aestivum (bread wheat). RNAcentral describes it as "partial small subunit ribosomal RNA". The record is from RNAcentral. Lineage: Eukaryota; Viridiplantae; Streptophyta; Magnoliopsida; Poales; Poaceae.